This 23-nucleotide non-coding RNA is filed under the name Arabidopsis thaliana (thale cress). Lineage: Eukaryota; Viridiplantae; Streptophyta; Magnoliopsida; Brassicales; Brassicaceae. The record is from RNAcentral.
AACCCCUUGUUUACCAGAUCAGC